AGCAGUAGCCGCGGGAAUACGAAGGGGGCUAGCGUUGUUCGGAAUUACUGGGCGUAAAGCGCAUGUAGGCGGAUAUUUAAGUCAGGGGUGAAAUCCCAGAGCUCAACUCUGGAACUGCCUUUGAUACUGGGUAUCUUGAGUAUGGAAGAGGUAAGUGGAAUUCCGAGUGUAGAGGUGAAAUUCGUAGAUAUUCGGAGGAACACCAGUGGCGAAGGCGGCUUACUGGUCCAUUACUGACGCUGAGGUGCGAAAGCGUGGGGAGCAAACAGGAUUAGAUACCCGUGUAGUCCCUGUCUCUUAUAC
Molecule: ribosomal RNA, 303 nt
Filed under: uncultured bacterium
Lineage: Bacteria
Description: partial 16S ribosomal RNA
Rfam family: Bacterial small subunit ribosomal RNA
Source: RNAcentral